Mauremys reevesii (Reeves's turtle) is the source of this 271-nucleotide long non-coding RNA. RefSeq lists it as uncharacterized. Lineage: Eukaryota; Metazoa; Chordata; Testudines; Geoemydidae. The record is from RefSeq and is a predicted model, not a curated record. The transcript is spliced from 4 exons.
UCCAGGUCUGUGUCCACCUUCUUCAACAGCUCCUGGGCAUCCGUAGCAUUCUUCUGGAACUGCCGGAAGGCCAAGCAAGACUCUUGUUUAAAAGAGAGCCCCCAGCUGGCAGAGAGAUCAGACCCCUGCAUGGGCCCAUCACAGCGUUGGGCUGAUCCUCUUUGGUACUAGGCUGGAGGAGUCUUGCAGAAAAAGUCUGAAGUGCCUUGCAGCUCUGCUUGUCAUGGGAGGAACAAGAUAACAGGCCUGGUGGAGAUUGCGAUUGAUGAAG